This 484-nucleotide ribosomal RNA is filed under the name uncultured bacterium. RNAcentral's name for it is "partial 16S ribosomal RNA". It matches the Rfam family "Bacterial small subunit ribosomal RNA", at positions 30 to 507 of the family's 1533-position model. The record is from RNAcentral.
AUUGAACGCUGGCGGCAUGCCUAACACAUGCAAGUCGAGCGGAUGAAGGGAGCUUGCUCCUGUAUUCAGCGGCGGACGGGUGAGUAAUGCCUAGGAAUCUGCCUGGUAGUGGGGGAUAACGUCCGGAAACGGGCGCUAAUACCGCAUACGUCCUGAGGGAGAAAGUGGGGGAUCUUCGGACCUCACGCUAUCAGAUGAGCCUAGGUCGGAUUAGCUAGUUGGUGGGGUAAAGGCCUACCAAGGCGACGAUCCGUAACUGGUCUGAGAGGAUGAUCAGUCACACUGGAACUGAGACACGGUCCAGACUCCUACGGGAGGCAGCAGUGGGGAAUAUUGGACAAUGGGCGAAAGCCUGAUCCAGCCAUGCCGCGUGUGUGAAGAAGGUCUUCGGAUUGUAAAGCACUUUAAGUUGGGAGGAAGGGCAGUAAGUUAAUACCUUGCUGUUUUGACGUUACCAACAGAAUAAGCACCGGCUAACUUCGUG